RNAcentral lists this unclassified non-coding RNA (269 nucleotides) under uncultured fungus. RNAcentral describes it as "partial contains small subunit ribosomal RNA, internal transcribed spacer 1, and 5.8S ribosomal RNA". The stretch from base 1 to 46 matches the Rfam family "Eukaryotic small subunit ribosomal RNA", at positions 1786 to 1831 of the family's 1831-position model. The record is from RNAcentral. RNAcentral also lists the same sequence under 1 other name. Lineage: Eukaryota; Fungi.
AAGUCGUAACAAGGUUUCCGUAGGUGAACCUGCGGAAGGAUCAUUAACGAGUUUUGAAAUGGGUUGUAGCUGGCCUUACACGGGCAUGUGCACACCCUGCUCAUCCACUCUCAUACCCCUGUGCACUUAUUGUAGGCUUGGUCGGAUAAGUUAGCCUCGGUUAACUUUGAAAGCCUUGUCUAUGCUUAUUACAAACGCUUCAGUUAAAGAAUGUAAUACUGCGUCUAACGCAUUAAAUACAACUUUCAGCAACGGAUCUCUUGGCUCUC